This 225-nucleotide long non-coding RNA is filed under the name Elaeis guineensis (African oil palm). RNAcentral describes it as "long non-coding RNA (EGUI_LNC016874)". The record is from RNAcentral. Lineage: Eukaryota; Viridiplantae; Streptophyta; Magnoliopsida; Arecales; Arecaceae.
CUCCAUUAUAUAAAUAAUAGACCUUGGAGCCGAGAUUGUGGGUUGCUUUGGUUGUUGUGAUGUGCUGAUCUAUAGAGAUUAAGAAGCAUGUGAAAGGCAUCAACUUUUUGUGUUGAUCUAUACGUCGAGUUCAUGUAGGCUCUAAGUUUUUUAUUCUGAGUUAUCCAUCUGAUUUCCUCUUUUAUAAUCAUUGCAUUGUUAAGUAGGCUAAAAAGUACAUGCAUG